This 322-nucleotide ribosomal RNA is filed under the name Leptographium sp. IFO6908. RNAcentral describes it as "LSU rRNA". It matches the Rfam family "Eukaryotic large subunit ribosomal RNA", at positions 44 to 364 of the family's 3401-position model. RNAcentral also lists the same sequence under 1 other name. The record is from RNAcentral. Lineage: Eukaryota; Fungi; Ascomycota; Sordariomycetes; Ophiostomatales; Ophiostomataceae.
CAAUAAGCGGAGGAAAAGAAACCAACAGGGAUUGCCCUAGUAACGGCGAGCGAAGCGGCAACAGCUCAAAUUUGAAAUCUGGCUCCUUUUGGGGUCCGAGUUGUAAUUUGCAGAGGAUGCUUUUGGCGAGGCGCCUUCCGAGUUCCCUGGAACGGGACGCCAUAGAGGGUGAGAGCCCCGUACGGUCGGAUUGCCGAGCCUCUGUAUAGCUCCUUCAACGAGUCGAGUAGUUUGGGAAUGCUGCUCUAAAUGGGAGGUACAUCUCUUCUAAAGCUAAAUACCGGCCAGAGACCGAUAGCGCACAAGUAGAGUGAUCGAAAGA